AGAGUUUGAUCCUGGCUCAGAUUGAACGCUGGCGACAGGCCUAACACAUGCAAGUCGAGCGGAAACGAUCCUAGCUUGCUAGGAGGCGUCGAGCGGCGGACGGGUGAGUAAUGCAUAGGAAUCUACCCGGUAGUGGGGGAUAACCUGGGGAAACCCAGGCUAAUACCGCAUACGUCCUACGGGAGAAAGCAGGGGAUCUUCGGACCUUGCGCUAUCGGAUGAGCCUAUGUCGGAUUAGCUGGUUGGUGAGGUAACGGCUCACCAAGGCGACGAUCCGUAGCUGGUCUGAGAGGAUGAUCAGCCACAUCGGGACUGAGACACGGCCCGAACUCCUACGGGAGGCAGCAGUGGGGAAUAUUGGACAAUGGGCGAAAGCCUGAUCCAGCCAUGCCGCGUGUGUGAAGAAGGCUUUCGGGUUGUAAAGCACUUUCAGUGGGGAAGAAAUCCUCGGGGCCAAUACCCUCGAGGGAGGACAUCACCCACAGAAGAAGCACCGGCUAACUCCGUGCCAGCAGCCGCGGUAAUACGGAGGGUGCGAGCGUUAAUCGGAAUUACUGGGCGUAAAGCGCGCGUAGGCGGCGUGAUAAGCCGGUUGUGAAAGCCCUGGGCUCAACCUGGGAACGGCAUCCGGAACUGUCAGGCUAGAGUGCAGGAGAGGAAGGUAGAAUUCCCGGUGUAGCGGUGAAAUGCGUAGAGAUCGGGAGGAAUACCAGUGGCGAAGGCGGCCUUCUGGACUGACACUGACGCUGAGGUGCGAAAGCGUGGGUAGCAAACAGGAUUAGAUACCCUGGUAGUCCACGCCGUAAACGAUGUCGACUAGCCGUUGGGGUCCUUGUGACCUUUGUGGCGCAGUUAACGCGAUAAGUCGACCGCCUGGGGAGUACGGCCGCAAGGUUAAAACUCAAAUGAAUUGACGGGGGCCCGCACAAGCGGUGGAGCAUGUGGUUUAAUUCGAUGCAACGCGAAGAACCUUACCUACUCUUGACAUCGUGCGAACUUGGUAGAGAUACCUUGGUGCCUUCGGGAACGCACAGACAGGUGCUGCAUGGCCGUCGUCAGCUCGUGUUGUGAAAUGUUGGGUUAAGUCCCGUAACGAGCGCAACCCUUGUCCCUAUUUGCCAGCGAUUCGGUCGGGAACUCUAGGGAGACUGCCGGUGACAAACCGGAGGAAGGUGGGGACGACGUCAGGUCAUCAUGGCCCUUACGAGUAGGGCUACACACGUGCUACAAUGGCCGGUACAAAGGGUUGCGAAGCCGCGAGGUGGAGCUAAUCCCGAAAAGCCGGUCUCAGUCCGGAUCGGAGUCUGCAACUCGACUCCGUGAAGUCGGAAUCGCUAGUAAUCGUGAAUCAGAAUGUCACGGUGAAUACGUUCCCGGGCCUUGUACACACCGCCCGUCACACCAUGGGAGUGGACUGCACCAGAAGUGGUUAGCCUAACUUCGGAGGGCGAUCACCACGGUGUGGUUCAUGACUGGGGUGAAGUCGUAACAAGGUAGCCGUAGGGGAACCUGCGGCUGGAUCACCUCCUU
This 1530-nucleotide ribosomal RNA is filed under the name uncultured bacterium. RNAcentral describes it as "bacterial SSU rRNA". It matches the Rfam family "Bacterial small subunit ribosomal RNA". The record is from RNAcentral.